GUGUCAGCAGCCGCGGUAAUACGUAGGUGGCAAGCGUUAUCCGGAAUUAUUGGGCGUAUUGCGCGCGCAGGUGGUUUCUUAAGUCUGAUGGGAAAGCGCACGGCUCAACCGUGGAGGGUCAUUGGAAACUGGGAGACUUGAGUGCAGAAGAGGAAAGUGGAAUUCCAUGUGUAGCGGUGAAAUGCGUAGAGAUUUGGAGGAACACCAGUGGCGAAGGCGACUUUCUGGUCUGUAACUGACACUGAGGCGCGAAAGCGUGGGGAGCAAACAGGAUUAGAAACCCCAGUAGUCC
Molecule: ribosomal RNA, 292 nt
Filed under: uncultured prokaryote
Description: partial 16S ribosomal RNA
Rfam family: Bacterial small subunit ribosomal RNA
Source: RNAcentral